This 76-nucleotide transfer RNA is filed under the name Nitrospiraceae bacterium. RNAcentral describes it as "tRNA-Ala". It matches the Rfam family "tRNA". Rfam says of the family: Transfer RNA (tRNA) molecules are approximately 80 nucleotides in length. The record is from RNAcentral. Lineage: Bacteria; Pseudomonadati; Nitrospirota; Nitrospiria; Nitrospirales; Nitrospiraceae.
GGGGCUGUAGCUCAGUUGGGAGAGCGCUUGAAUGGCGUUCAAGAGGUCGUCGGUUCGAUCCCGAUCAGCUCCACCA